CAGCACCUCAAGUGGUCAGGAUGAUUAUUGGGCCUAAAGCAUCCGUAGCCGGCUCUGUAAGUUUUCGGUUAAAUCUGUAUGCUCAACAUACAGGCUGCCGGGAAUACUGUAGAGCUAGGGAGUGGGAGAGGUAGACGGUACUCGGUAGGAAGGGGUAAAAUCCUUUGAUCUAUUGAUGACCACCUGUGGCGAAGGCGGUCUACCAGAACACGUCCGACGGUGAGGGAUGAAAGCUGGGGGAGCAAACCGGAUUAGAUACCCGAGUAGUCC
This 270-nucleotide ribosomal RNA is filed under the name uncultured archaeon. RNAcentral describes it as "partial 16S ribosomal RNA". It matches the Rfam family "Archaeal small subunit ribosomal RNA", at positions 477 to 747 of the family's 1478-position model. The record is from RNAcentral.